UCUGUGAGAUGACUCCCCACAGAGACAGAGGCAACACUUUGGUCACCUUUGGUCACACUGAGCAGUGCUUGACCCUACAUGGAUUUACCUGGAAAUAGGAAUCUACCCAACAGGGUACGUGUUUAUGUUGUCAGACAAGGAAUAUCCAGGAAUAGCUGUCCAUUUUCAGAGCAAUUUUCAAGGCUUGAUACAUCCUGUGGAAUCUGUCUGGCCCAUCACUCAGAUUGUGGACAAGGAAGUGGCGUUGCAGAAGUCAAGUAUAUCAGUUUAGUUCUUGUCUGUCUCAGUCCCUCUGGUGAAGCAUCAAGUGUGUGGGAGCACUUGGUCCAGAGCAAGGAGGUUCUUUACAGAAGAAUCAGUCUGAUGAGCACUGGUUUUCAUGUGCUUGCUUGUUUGCAUGCUUUGUGUUUUUCCAUUGGACCAACCAAUGGACUUGCAUGACUAGAAAUUCAGGCAAGCAAAUUCCAUAAGCAGCUUGACACCUACACAAGACUAAGAAGGCAAAGGCUACAGAGCAGAAGGCUCUUAAAGGCAAAGGCUUCUUAAAUGAAAUAUUGACGGUCCUCACCUCUUGUCUUCAGUUGUCAGUGACCCAGGGUUAGCAAGAGAAGUUGGUACAGCCAUUCCAUUCUCAUCUCCAGAGUAACCCAGCACAGGCUAGUUUUUUUGCACCACGUUCUGUACCAUUUCAUCAGCUGCAUCUCUUGGGCAGAGAAAGAAUACGUUCUUGUACCCCCUAUAAUAUGUCUUCAAGCAGCAGAAAGGUUCAUAUAUCCCAUAUGGAGCUUCGUGGCUUCAGGCCCACUCCUUUUUGGAAGGGAAGAUGGGUGAUUAAGUGGCACCUACCCCAGGUCUGGAUGUUCUCAU
Molecule: long non-coding RNA, 867 nt
Organism: Chiroxiphia lanceolata (lance-tailed manakin)
Lineage: Eukaryota; Metazoa; Chordata; Aves; Passeriformes; Pipridae
Exons: 7
Source: RefSeq, a predicted model, not a curated record